Molecule: non-coding RNA, 71 nt
Organism: Amylostereum chailletii
Lineage: Eukaryota; Fungi; Basidiomycota; Agaricomycetes; Russulales; Stereaceae
Source: the annotation of a GenBank genome assembly
GCAUCAGUGGUGUAGCGGUAACAUUGGGUCUUCCCAUGGCCUAGCUCCGGGUUCGACUCCCUGCUGAUGCA